RNAcentral lists this ribosomal RNA (407 nucleotides) under uncultured bacterium. RNAcentral's name for it is "partial 16S ribosomal RNA". It matches the Rfam family "Bacterial small subunit ribosomal RNA", at positions 30 to 526 of the family's 1533-position model. The record is from RNAcentral.
AUUGAACGCUGGCGGCAGGCCUAACACAUGCAAGUCGAGCGGAGCGGCGGACGGGUGAGUAAGGCCUAGGACUCUGCCUGGUAGUGGGGGAUAGCGUACGGAAACGGACGCUAAUACCGCAUACUCUCAGCUGAGCCUAGGUCUGAAUAGCUAGUGGGUGGGGUAAAGGCAUACCAAGGCGACGAUCCGUAACUUGUCCGAGAGGAUGAUCAGUCACACUGGAACUGAGACACGGUCCAGACGCCUACGGGAGGCAGCAGUGGGGAAUAUUGGACAAUGGGCGCAAGCCUGAUCCAGCCAUGCCGCGUGUGUGAAGAAGGUCUUCGGGUUGUAAAGCACUUUAAGUUGGGAGGCGUUACUAACAGAAUAAGCACCGGCUAACUUCGUGCCAGCAGCCGCGGUAAUAC